UCAAGGCCUCAGGUCGGGACCAACGUUUUGCCAACUGCCACCGCACCCCGGCGCCCAACUACUCUGGGGGAUAGGGUUUGGCUUUCCACCAGGGACUUGCCCCUUAAGACAGACUCUAAGAAGCUGUCGCCCAGAUUAAUUGGCCCGUUUGUAGUGGACAGUUAUCAAUCACCACCACCAAUAUCACCACGGUGGUCAGGCUCAAACUGCCUCGCUCCCUUCGGGUCCACUCUUCGUUCCAUGUCUCACGCAUCAAACCUGUUUCCACCAGCCCGUUGGCUCCUCCCCCUCCUCCACCUCCACAGAUGAUUGAUGGCUUCCCCGCUUAUACAGUCCGCCGGAUUUUGGACUUGCGCCGCCGUGGGUUCCAGUACCUUGUCAACUGGGGAGGCUAUGGCCCUGAGCUGGGUUCCCCGCCGGCAGAUCCUGGAUGCCUCCCUCGUCAGGGACUUUCAUAGGCUGCAUCCUGAGAGGCUUGUUUUUUGAAUCCUGGGCAUGUCUGGGUUCCUGAGUUGGCACUUGCUGCACCUGCUGGUAAUCACGCACCUGUUCCUGAUCAGCCAUCCCUACCUCUUAAGGACAGACCAGACUUCCAUUCCCUGCUGGAUUGUUAAUUUGCGUACCAUCACCUGCUCUGCCUGCCAGUCAGUUCCAAGUCCUCUCAAAGCAGAGAUCCAAACUUUCCAGCCAGCCACGCCAGCCAGCCCUCACGCUCCACUGCUUGGAAAGAGACUCCCUGCCACCUCACCCUGCCUAGUUUGCUCACGCUACCUCAAUCAAUAAACUGUUUAACUGCUG
Micropterus salmoides (largemouth bass) is the source of this 798-nucleotide long non-coding RNA. RefSeq lists it as uncharacterized. The record is from RefSeq and is a predicted model, not a curated record. NCBI's taxonomy places the organism in Eukaryota, Metazoa, Chordata, Actinopteri, Centrarchiformes, Centrarchidae. The transcript has 3 exons.